This 599-nucleotide ribosomal RNA is filed under the name Metabacillus galliciensis. RNAcentral's name for it is "bacterial SSU rRNA". It matches the Rfam family "Bacterial small subunit ribosomal RNA", at positions 76 to 663 of the family's 1533-position model. The record is from RNAcentral. Lineage: Bacteria; Bacillati; Bacillota; Bacilli; Caryophanales; Bacillaceae.
UUGCUCUCAAAGAUUAGCGGCGGACGGGUGAGUAACACGUGGGUAACCUGCCUGUAAGAUUGGGAUAACUCCGGGAAACCGGAGCUAAUACCGGAUAACAUUUUGAACCGCAUGGUUCGAAAUUGAAAGGUGGCUUUUGCUACCACUUACAGAUGGACCCGCGGCGCAUUAGCUAGUUGGUGAGGUAAUGGCUCACCAAGGCAACGAUGCGUAGCCGACCUGAGAGGGUGAUCGGCCACACUGGGACUGAGACACGGCCCAGACUCCUACGGGAGGCAGCAGUAGGGAAUCUUCCGCAAUGGACGAAAGUCUGACGGAGCAACGCCGCGUGAGUGAUGAAGGCCUUCGGGUCGUAAAGCUCUGUUGUUAGGGAAGAACAAGUACCGUUCAAAUAGGGCGGUACCAUGACGGUACCUAACCAGAAAGCCACGGCUAACUACGUGCCAGCAGCCGCGGUAAUACGUAGGUGGCAAGCGUUGUCCGGAAUUAUUGGGCGUAAAGGGCUCGCAGGCGGUUCCUUAAGUCUGAUGUGAAAGCCCACGGCUCAACCGUGGAGGGUCAUUGGAAACUGGGGAACUUGAGUACAGAAGAGGAGAGUG